GGUGAACGCUGGCGGCGUGCCUAAUACAUGCAAGUAGAACGCUGAAGGAAGGAGCUUGCUCUUUCCGGAUGAGUUGCGAACGGGUGAGUAACGCGUAGGUAACCUGCCUGGUAGCGGGGGAUAACUAUUGGAAACGAUAGCUAAUACCGCAUAACAGUAGAUGUUGCAUGACAACUAUUUGAAAGGGGCAAUUGCUCCACUACCAGAUGGACCUGCGUUGUAUUAGCUAGUUGGUGAGGUAACGGCUCACCAAGGCGACGAUACAUAGCCGACCUGAGAGGGUGGUCGGCCACACUGGGACUGAGACACGGCCCAGACUCCUACGGGAGGCAGCAGUAGGGAAUCUUCGGCAAUGGACGGAAGUCUGACCGAGCAACGCCGCGUGAGUGAAGAAGGUUUUCGGAUCGUAAAGCUCUGUUGUAAGAGAAGAACGAGUGUGAGAGUGGAAAGUUCACACUGUGACGGUAUCUUACCAGAAAGGGACGGCUAACUACGUG
RNAcentral lists this ribosomal RNA (497 nucleotides) under uncultured bacterium. Its description in RNAcentral is "partial 16S ribosomal RNA". It matches the Rfam family "Bacterial small subunit ribosomal RNA", at positions 28 to 507 of the family's 1533-position model. The record is from RNAcentral.